RNAcentral lists this long non-coding RNA (564 nucleotides) under Homo sapiens (human). RNAcentral's name for it is "long intergenic non-protein coding RNA 1968". Lineage: Eukaryota; Metazoa; Chordata; Mammalia; Primates; Hominidae. The record is from RNAcentral.
GCACUGGUCCACGGUGACCCCAAGGAGGACAUGAUCCCCCUUGUCUGGGAGAACAAGAGUAGAUGGUUCGGUGUAUGCAAAUAUCACAGUUCCAGGUAACUUGAAGGAGCAGUUUGGAUUUAGAAACCCACACCUGUGACUGAUGGGAGUGGUGGACAAAUACCCACAACUUCCUCUCUCUACUCUUGGCUGAGGACAAUUCUGAAGUGAGCCCUACACUGUCUCCCAGAUGCAGUCUGACCUGAGCCAUGAAGAAGUGCAGAGUCCCCAAGAGGCCAGAGAGCUCACGUCUGGUUAGAGUCGGGGUGUUUGAUGGGAAGAUGAAAGGAGGAGCUGGCAUCUGAGAUCUCAUGCGAUGUGUGGAAACAGGACGAGUUUUAAUCUGCUCAGCAUGCAGGUGUACAUGUGGGCCUCACUGUCCUCCACAGAAUGCCCCCAGGAAGGGGUGGGAGGAUGGAUUACAAAAUCCAACAGGCAACUAUCAGGUAGUACAGCUCCCAGAAGUCUGGUAAUCCCUCGUCGACAUGUCCUAUAAUGGAAGUAAAGAAUGCGAGAAACCAAAAA